Molecule: ribosomal RNA, 253 nt
Filed under: uncultured bacterium
Lineage: Bacteria
Description: partial 16S ribosomal RNA
Rfam family: Bacterial small subunit ribosomal RNA
Source: RNAcentral
UACGGAGGGUACAAGCGUUGUCCGGAUUUAUUGGGUUUAAAGGGUGCGUAGGCGGCCCGGUAAGUCAGUGGUGAAAGCCUCCAGCUCAACUGGAGAACUGCCAUUGAUACUGCCGGGCUUGAGUACAGACGAGGUUGGCGGAAUUGAUUGUGUAGCGGUGAAAUGCAUAGAUACAAUCAAGAACUCCGAUUGCGUAGGCAGCUAACUAGGCUGUAACUGACGCUGAGGCACGAAAGCGUGGGGAGCGAACAGG